AUGCAAGUCGAGCGGGACUGCCUGAGAUUACAUCAACUGGCAGUCUAGCGGCAGACGAGUGAGUAACACGUAAGCAACCUGCCCUUGAAUGGCGAACAACAUGCCGAAAGGCAUGCUAAUACGCCGUAUACUCCCCGGGGGGCAUCUCCUGGGGCGGAUAGGCCCGCAAGGGCCGUUCAAGGAGGGGCUUGCGUCCCAUCAGCUAGUUGGCGGUGUAACGGACCACCAAGGCUAUGACGGGUACCCGGCCUGAAAGGGCGGACGGGCACGAAGGCACUGAGACACGGGCCUUACUCCUACGGGAGGCAGCAGUGGGGAAUUUUGGACAAUGGGGGAAACCCUGAUCCAGCAACUCUGCGCGAGGGACGAAGUUCUUCGGAAUGUAAACCUCUUUUGUCUGGGACGAAAACCCGCAAGGGCUUGACGGUACCAGGCGAAUAAGCCACGGCUAACUAUGUGCCAGCAGCCGCGGUAAGACAUAGGUGGCAAGCGUUAUUCGGAAUUACUAGGCGUAAAGCGAGUGUAGGCGGGCGCUUAAGUCCGUUGUGAAAUCUCCCGGCUUAACUGGGAGGGGUCAACGGACACUGGGCGUCUUGAGUGAGGUAGGGGGUACUGGAAUUCCCGGUGUAGCGGUGAAAUGCGUAGAUAUCGGGAGGAACACCUAUGGCGAAAGCAGGUACCUGGGCCUUUACUGACGCUGAGACUCGAAAGCUAGGGGAGC
This 721-nucleotide ribosomal RNA is filed under the name uncultured bacterium. RNAcentral's name for it is "bacterial SSU rRNA". It matches the Rfam family "Bacterial small subunit ribosomal RNA", at positions 55 to 769 of the family's 1533-position model. The record is from RNAcentral.